RNAcentral lists this ribosomal RNA (344 nucleotides) under uncultured bacterium. Its description in RNAcentral is "bacterial SSU rRNA". It matches the Rfam family "Bacterial small subunit ribosomal RNA", at positions 570 to 913 of the family's 1533-position model. The record is from RNAcentral.
CGUAGGCGGUUUUGCAAGUUGGAUGUGAAAGCCCAGGGCUCAACCCUGGAAUUGCAUUCAAGACUGCAUUACUUGAAUUCGGUAGAGGUGAGUGGAAUUCCCAGUGUAGAGGUGAAAUUCGUAGAUAUUGGGAAGAACACCGGUGGCGAAGGCGGCUCACUGGACCGACAUUGACGCUGAGGCGCGAAAGCGUGGGGAGCAAACAGGAUUAGAUACCCUGGUAGUCCACGCCGUAAACGAUGCAUGCUAGACGUUGGAGGCCUUAGGUCUCUUGUGUCGCAGCUAACGCACUAAGCAUGCCGCCUGGGGAGUACGGCCGCAAGGUUGAAACUCAAAUGAAUUGA